RNAcentral lists this ribosomal RNA (425 nucleotides) under uncultured bacterium. RNAcentral's name for it is "partial 16S ribosomal RNA". It matches the Rfam family "Bacterial small subunit ribosomal RNA", at positions 354 to 796 of the family's 1533-position model. The record is from RNAcentral.
GUUAGGAAUAUUGGACAAUGGGCGCAAGCCUGAUCCAGCCAUGCCGCGUGAGUGAUGAAGGCCUUCGGGUUGUAAAGCUCUUUAGCCGAUGAUUAUAAUGACUGUAGUCGGAAAAUAAGCCCCGGCUAACUUCGUGUCAGCAGCCGCGGUAAUACGAAGGGGGCGAGCGUUAUUCGGAAUCACUGGGCGUAAAGCGUGCGUAGGCGGCUUUGCAAGUUGGGAGUGAAAGCCCAGGGCUCAACCCUGGAAUUGCUCUCAAAACUGCAAGGCUCGAAUUCGGGAGAGGAUAGAGGAAUUGUCAGUGUAGCAGUGAAAUGCGUAGAUAUUGACAGGAACACCAGUGGCGUAAGCGGCUAUCUGGACCGAUAUUGACGCUGAGGCACGAAAGCGUGAGGAUCAAACAGGAUUAGAAACCCUUGUAGUCC